This 439-nucleotide ribosomal RNA is filed under the name uncultured bacterium. Its description in RNAcentral is "partial 16S ribosomal RNA". It matches the Rfam family "Bacterial small subunit ribosomal RNA", at positions 339 to 795 of the family's 1533-position model. The record is from RNAcentral.
CUACGGGUUGCUGCAGUAAAGAAUCUUCCACAAUGGGCGAAAGCCUGAUGGAGCAAUACCGCGUGAACGAUGACGGUCGAAAGAUUGUAAAGUUCUUUUCUGAGGGAAGAAUUCUGACGGUACCUCAGGAAUAAGCACCGGCUAACUCCGUGCCAGCAGCCGCGGUAAUACGGAGGGUGCAAGCGUUACCCGGAAUUAUUGGGCGUAAAGCGUCCGCAGGCUGUUUAUUAAGUUGGAUAUUAAAUCUUGGGGCCCAACUCUAAGGCCGUGUCCAAAACUGGUAAACUAGAGUCUUUCAGGGCAUACGGAAUUCUGUGUGUAGGGGUAAAAUCCGUAGAUACACAGAGGAACACCAAAAGCGAAGGCAGUAUGCUGGGAAAGUACUGACGCUCAUGGACGAAAGCGUAGGUAGCGAACGGGAUUAGAUACCCUUGUAGUC